This 856-nucleotide unclassified non-coding RNA is filed under the name Bradyrhizobium japonicum. Its description in RNAcentral is "partial 16S-23S ribosomal RNA intergenic spacer; may also contain 16S ribosomal RNA and 23S ribosomal RNA". The stretch from base 166 to 239 matches the Rfam family "tRNA". The record is from RNAcentral. Lineage: Bacteria; Pseudomonadati; Pseudomonadota; Alphaproteobacteria; Hyphomicrobiales; Nitrobacteraceae.
GGCUCACUAUCGGAUCGUUUUAGAAACAUCAGUGGCCAACGGUCGUCAGGAUCGUUGAGCUGCAUUGGCGGGAUUUCGCCGUCUACGUUUCUCUUUCUUCGCGGACGAACACGCGCUGGGCCUGUAUGCGCAGGAUCCCAUGGUCCUUGACGGGAUAUGCGUUAGGGGCUUGUAGCUCAGUUGGUUAGAGCGCGCGCUUGAUAAGCGUGAGGUCGGAAGUUCAAGUCUUCCCAGGCCCACCACACUCAUCGAGUGAGCAUUCGUCUUCUGGUUACGGGGCCAUAGCUCAGCUGGGAGAGCGCGUGCUUUGCAAGCAUGAGGUCGUCGGUUCGAUCCCGUCUGGCUCCACCAGAUGGUUUGAUCAUCGACUGAUCGUGCACCUAAAAUCGUCCGCGAUACAUCACUCCGCAUCUUGCUAGUCUGGAUAGACAGCAGGUUUGCGUGAUUUCUGACAUCGUAAAGAGGAGAUCGAUCCGAGUUGGAUCGGGCAACAAGCAAUUGUUGCACGAUACUUCAUUAUCUCCGGAUCAUUUCGGCGCUCGUGCGCCUUUCAGUGUAGCUCACAAGGCUGCGUCUGAAAGACAUGCGAGUUGUAAAUGAUCCUUUUAGCGAAGCUUGACCGCCUCGCUAUCGGAACGAUCUUACGAAGCAAGCUGGUCUUUCUAAUCAUUGUCCGGCUGCAGAUAGCGUUCAUCGAGGGCGCGUGCCUUAGAGAUUUAGGUCUCUUGGUAAUUCUGCAGACAACAUUCUGCCGAGUGUGUGGACAUUGAUAAUGAGAGCAAUCAAGUGCCUUAAGGGUGUUCGGUGGAUGCCUUGGCGCUGAGAGGCGAUGAAGGACGUGCUACGCUGCGAUAAG